This 73-nucleotide transfer RNA is filed under the name Stegodyphus mimosarum. It matches the Rfam family "tRNA". Rfam says of the family: Transfer RNA (tRNA) molecules are approximately 80 nucleotides in length. Their secondary structure includes four short double-helical elements and three loops (D, anti-codon, and T loops). Further hydrogen bonds mediate the characteristic L-shaped molecular structure. tRNAs have two regions of fundamental functional importance: the anti-codon, which is responsible for specific mRNA codon recognition, and the 3' end, to which the tRNAs corresponding amino acid is attached (by aminoacyl-tRNA synthetases). tRNAs cope with the degeneracy of the genetic code in two manners: having more than one tRNA (with a specific anti-codon) for a particular amino acid; and 'wobble' base-pairing, i.e. permitting non-standard base-pairing at the 3rd anti-codon position. The record is from Rfam by way of RNAcentral. Lineage: Eukaryota; Metazoa; Arthropoda; Arachnida; Araneae; Eresidae.
GCCUUCGUGCUGUAAUGGUCAGCACACUCGACGCGUAUUCGAGAGGUCUGAGGUUCGAGUCCUGACGAGGGCA